CACUGCCUGCCCAGUGACAUACGUUAAACGGCCGCGGUACUCUGACCGUGCAAAGGUAGCAUAAUCAUUUGUUCCUUAAUUAGGGACUUGUAUGAACGGCCACACGAGGGUCUAACUGUCUCUUUCUUCCAAUCAGUGAAAUUGACCUCCCCGUGAAGAGGCGGGGAUAAACCUAUAAGACGAGAAGACCCUAUGGAGCUUAAAUUAAUUAGUUCAGCCACAAAACACAUACCCUACGGGGCCACCCAACAGUUUAAUGAACUAACAAUUUUGGUUGGGGUGACCUCGGAGAACAAAAAAACCUCCGAAUGAUACUAUAACCCAGACUUAACCAGUCGAAGUCCAUAAAUCACUUAUUGACCCAAUUAUUGAUCAACGGAACAAGUUACCCUAGGGAUAACAGCGCAAUCCUAUUUUAGAGUCCAUAUCGACAAUAGGGUUUACGACCUCGAUGUUGGAUCAGGACAUCCCAAUGGUGCAGCAGCUAUUAAAGGUUCGUUUGUUCAACGAUUAAAGUCCUACGUGAUCUGAGUUCAGACCGGA
RNAcentral lists this ribosomal RNA (543 nucleotides) under Dugong dugon (dugong). Its description in RNAcentral is "partial 16S ribosomal RNA". It matches the Rfam family "Bacterial large subunit ribosomal RNA", at positions 1853 to 2620 of the family's 2925-position model. The record is from RNAcentral. Lineage: Eukaryota; Metazoa; Chordata; Mammalia; Sirenia; Dugongidae.